GGCUGGUCCGAUGGCAGUGGGUUAUCAGAACUUAUUAACAUUAGUGUCACUAAUGUUGGUAUACCACCCCCCCCACUGCUAAAUUUGAUUGGCUUUAA
Unclassified non-coding RNA from Cavia porcellus (domestic guinea pig), 98 nucleotides. It matches the Rfam family "Y RNA". Rfam says of the family: Y RNAs are components of the Ro ribonucleoprotein particle (Ro RNP), in association with Ro60 and La proteins. The Y RNAs and Ro60 and La proteins are well conserved, but the function of the Ro RNP is not known. NCBI's taxonomy places the organism in Eukaryota, Metazoa, Chordata, Mammalia, Rodentia, Caviidae. The record is from Ensembl.